This 1000-nucleotide ribosomal RNA is filed under the name uncultured organism. Its description in RNAcentral is "bacterial SSU rRNA". It matches the Rfam family "Bacterial small subunit ribosomal RNA", at positions 356 to 1376 of the family's 1533-position model. The record is from RNAcentral.
GGGGGAUAUUGCGCAAUGGGGGCAACCCUGACGCAGCAACGCCGCGUGAAGGAUGAAGGUUUUCGGAUUGUAAACUUCUUUUAUUAAGGACGAAACUUGACGGUACUUAAUGAAUAAGCUCCGGCUAACUACGUGCCAGCAGCCGCGGUAAUACGUAGGGAGCAAGCGUUGUCCGGAUUUACUGGGUGUAAAGGGUGCGUAGGCGGCUUUGCAAGUCAGAUGUGAAAUCUAUGGGCUCAACCCAUAAACUGCAUUUGAAACUGUAGAGCUUGAGUGAAGUAGAGGCAGGCGGAAUUCCCCGUGUAGCGGUGAAAUGCGUAGAGAUGGGGAGGAACACCAGUGGCGAAGGCGGCCUGCUGGGCUUUAACUGACGCUGAGGCACGAAAGCGUGGGUAGCAAACAGGAUUAGAUACCCUGGUAAUCCACGCUGUAAACGAUGAUUACUAGGUGUGGGGGGUCUGACCCCUUCCGUGCCGGAGUUAACACAAUAAGUAAUCCACCUGGGGAGUACGGCCGCAAGGUUGAAACUCAAAGGAAUUGACGGGGGCCCGCACAAGCAGUGGAGUAUGUGGUUUAAUUCGAAGCAACGCGAAGAACCUUACCAGGUCUUGACAUCCAACUAACGAAGUAGAGAUACAUUAGGUGCCCUUCGGGGAAAGUUGAGACAGGUGGUGCAUGGUUGUCGUCAGCUCGUGUCGUGAGAUGUUGGGUUAAGUCCCGCAACGAGCGCAACCCUUGCUAUUAGUUGCUACGCAAGAGCACUCUAAUAGGACUGCCGUUGACAAAACGGAGGAAGGUGGGGACGACGUCAAAUCAUCAUGCCCCUUAUGACCUGGGCUACACACGUACUACAAUGGAUGUUAACAGAGGGAAGCAAGACAGCGAUGUGGAGCAAACCCCUAAAAACAUUCUCAGUUCAGAUUGCAGGCUGCAACCCGCCUGCAUGAAGAUGGAAUUGCUAGUAAUCGCGGAUCAGCAUGCCGCGGUGAAUACGUUCCCG